UUUUCCACCGAUCUAUGGCCUAUAUAAAGCCACCACCAUGUCGCAGUUUCGUUUUCCUUAUCCUCCUCUCGAAAUUCUAGAUCAAAGAAUCUUAACUCGUUGUUGUGACCCCCUAAACCACCUCAAAUCGCUUCGGGCUCUACACGAAAGUUGUAGAUCUCGUCGAGAUCUUUCAAUUCCGGCCAAUCUCAUCUCUUUUCGUCCACCAUACACGGAUAAUUUCGCAUCGCAAGGCGUCAGGUCUGACAAAGGGAAUCUUCAAUUAGUUCGUGCUCGUUCCACGAAAUUCAAAUUCAUUUGAUCUAUUUCGAGUCAAUCGGAGCCAAAACGAGUUUCAAAACAAUCUCGAAUCAUCAUGACUUCAACACUUGUACGGAGAGGCACGUAUUUUUGAUUAAGAGAAGUGAACGCGCUUCGACUACCAAAAGGCA
Non-coding RNA from Lolium perenne, 431 nucleotides. Lineage: Eukaryota; Viridiplantae; Streptophyta; Magnoliopsida; Poales; Poaceae. The record is from RefSeq and is a predicted model, not a curated record.